RNAcentral lists this ribosomal RNA (848 nucleotides) under Bacillus sp. B1(2009). RNAcentral's name for it is "bacterial SSU rRNA". It matches the Rfam family "Bacterial small subunit ribosomal RNA", at positions 8 to 838 of the family's 1533-position model. The record is from RNAcentral. Lineage: Bacteria; Bacillati; Bacillota; Bacilli; Caryophanales; Bacillaceae.
AGAGUUUGAUCCUGGCUCAGGACGAACGCUGGCGGCGUGCCUAAUACAUGCAAGUCGAGCGGACAGAUGGGAGCUUGCUCCCUGAUGUUAGCGGCGGACGGGUGAGUAACACGUGGGUAACCUGCCUGUAAGACUGGGAUAACUCCGGGAAACCGGGGCUAAUACCGGAUGGUUGCCUGAACCGCAUGGUUCAGGCAUAAAAGGUGGCUUCGGCUACCACUUACAGAUGGACCCGCGGCGCAUUAGCUAGUUGGUGAGGUAACGGCUCACCAAGGCGACGAUGCGUAGCCGACCUGAGAGGGUGAUCGGCCACACUGGGACUGAGACACGGCCCAGACUCCUACGGGAGGCAGCAGUAGGGAAUCUUCCGCAAUGGACGAAAGUCUGACGGAGCAACGCCGCGUGAGUGAUGAAGGUUUUCGGAUCGUAAAGCUCUGUUGUUAGGGAAGAACAAGUGCCGUUCAAAUAGGGCGGCACCUUGACGGUACCUAACCAGAAAGCCACGGCUAACUACGUGCCAGCAGCCGCGGUAAUACGUAGGUGGCAAGCGUUGUCCGGAAUUAUUGGGCGUAAAGGGCUCGCAGGCGGUUUCUUAAGUCUGAUGUGAAAGCCCCCGGCUCAACCGGGGAGGGUCAUUGGAAACUGGGGAACUUGAGUGCAGAAGAGGAGAGUGGAAUUCCACGUGUAGCGGUGAAAUGCGUAGAGAUGUGGAGGAACACCAGUGGCGAAGGCGACUCUCUGGUCUGUAACUGACGCUGAGGAGCGAAAGCGUGGGGAGCGAACAGGAUUAGAUACCCUGGUAGUCCACGCCGUCACGAUGAGUGCUAAGUGUUAGGGGGUUUCCGCCC